Molecule: non-coding RNA, 143 nt
Organism: Mus musculus (house mouse)
Lineage: Eukaryota; Metazoa; Chordata; Mammalia; Rodentia; Muridae
Source: Rfam
CACCCCUCGCAAUGGGCAAAGAGACACCUUGUUGGUAGUGGUGUUCUUGUGUCAGUCAGGGCAGAGAAGAUGGCAGGCCUUUGUUCAUCUUAGUUUGAUGCCAGACUUGGUGGCCAAAGCUGUUUCAUGCCUAGGGCACAUAA